Molecule: ribosomal RNA, 492 nt
Filed under: uncultured bacterium
Lineage: Bacteria
Description: partial 16S ribosomal RNA
Rfam family: Bacterial small subunit ribosomal RNA
Source: RNAcentral
GAUGAACGCUAGCUCCAGGCUUAACACAUUCAAGUCGAGGGGAAACGGCAUUAAGUGCUUGCACUUUUUGGACGUCGACCGCCGCACGGGUGAGUAACGCGUAUCCAACCUUCCCAUGACUAAGGGAUAAUCUGCCGAAAGGCAGACUAAUACCUUAUGGUUUUUAUUGACGGAUUAAGAUGUGAAGUACAGAUUUAUUGGUUAUGGGUGGGGAUGCGUCUGAUUAGCUAGUUGGCGGGGUAACGGCCCACCAAGGCAACGAUCAGUAGGGGUUCUGAGAGGAAGGUCCCCCACAUUUGAGCUGAGACACGGUCCAAACUCCUACGGGAGGCAGCAGUGAGGAAUAUUGGUCAAUGGGCGAGAGCCUGAACCAGCCAAGUAGCGUGCAGGAUGACGGCCCUAUGGGUUGUAAACUGCUUUUGUAUGGGGAUAAAGUCAAUCACGUGUGAUUGUUUGGAGGUACCAUACGAAUAAGGACCGGCUAAGUCCGUG